This 253-nucleotide ribosomal RNA is filed under the name uncultured bacterium. RNAcentral's name for it is "partial 16S ribosomal RNA". It matches the Rfam family "Bacterial small subunit ribosomal RNA", at positions 524 to 776 of the family's 1533-position model. The record is from RNAcentral.
UACGGGGGGGGCAAGCGUUGUUCGGAAUUACUGGGCGUAAAGGGCGCGUAGGCGGUCUGUUAAGUUGGAUGUGAAAACUCUGGGCUCAACCCAGAGCCUGCAUCCAAAACUGGCAGGCUAGAGUUCUGGAGGGGGUAGCGGAAUUCCUGGUGUAGCGGUGAAAUGCGUAGAUAUCAGGAGGAACACCGGUGGCGAAGGCGGCUACCUGGACAGAAACUGACGCUGAGGCGCGAAAGUUAGGGGAGCAAACAGG